This 457-nucleotide long non-coding RNA is filed under the name Zonotrichia albicollis (white-throated sparrow). RNAcentral describes it as "lncRNA (ENSZALG00000001199.1)". Lineage: Eukaryota; Metazoa; Chordata; Aves; Passeriformes; Passerellidae. The record is from RNAcentral.
UACUGGAAAAAAUUCCCCUAAAAAAUCCUGGGAAAUCGCCCCAAAAAAAGCUGGAAAUUGUGCCAGAAAUACCGGGGGAAAUCACACUAAAUAUCUGGGGAAAUUGCCCCAAAAAUAACGGGAAAUUGCACCAGAAAUACCGGGGGAAAUCACACUAAAUAUCUGGGGAAAUUGCCCCAAAAUAAUGGGAAAUUGCACAAGAUAUACUGGAAAAAAUUCCCCUAAAAAACCUGGGAAAUCGCCCCAAAAAAAGCUGGAAAUUGCACCAGAAAUACCGGGGGAAAUCACAUUAAAUAUCUGGGGAAAUUGCCCCAAAAAUACCAGGAAAUUGCACCAGAAAUACAGGGGGAAAUUACCCCAAAAAUACCAGGAAAAUCACCCCAAAAUACCCUGGGAAAUUACCCCAAAAUCCUGGGAAAUUGCCCCAAAAUAUCCUGGGAAAUCGGCCCAAAAACAA